AUCAAGCUCUACAAUUCUCCAAUUGUCUUCUUUUUACUAUUCUUCUCUUCUUAUUCAAUAUCAGCAACUUGAAGUACGAAGCCAAACUCCUUGUCCCUUCUAUUUUUCAUUCAAUGGCAUUCUUGACAAAGAAUUCUUUGCAUUGAUGCUCAAUCUCCUUUUCAUACAAAUCUGGGAUGAAAAUUUUCAUGUUGAGACGGCAAUUCCAGCUUGUUCAGCUCUUUUUCUAGUUCAUCAUCUUGUUGCACAGGCUCUUAUGAUUGCUACCUCUUUUGUUGAUGAUGAGGCUCAUCUAAUUGUAUCACAUCCAUUCCAUGAUGUCCAGAAAUCCAUGCACGUAAUUCUUAGAUCUGCUCUUGGUUUUUGAGACAUUGUAUCAGAUUUUUAUAGUCAUAAUUCUGAAGAGUUGAUUUCUUGUCCAA
This 422-nucleotide unclassified non-coding RNA is filed under the name Hevea brasiliensis (rubber tree). The record is from RNAcentral. Lineage: Eukaryota; Viridiplantae; Streptophyta; Magnoliopsida; Malpighiales; Euphorbiaceae.